Molecule: ribosomal RNA, 135 nt
Filed under: uncultured bacterium
Lineage: Bacteria
Description: partial 16S ribosomal RNA
Source: RNAcentral
CACGUAGUUGGCCGGUCCUUCUUCUGCGGGUACCGUCAUAAUCGUCCCCGCUGAAAGGGGUUUACAACCCGAGAGCAUUCAUCCCCCACGCGGCGUUGCUGCGUCAGGCUUUCGCCCAUUGCGCAAGAUUCCUAA